GAGACAAAAACAUUAUUAGCUGUGGUGGCAUGGGGGGCUAGACAGCCUCUGGCGAUUGAGGAAGUGGAAGUGAGCCCGCCUCAACCUCAGGAGAUCCGAAUCAAGGUCAUCGCCACUUCCCUCUGUGGCAGCGACGUCGCCGCUUGGGCAUCCCAGACUAUAUUUCCUCGCAUAUUUGGCCAUGAAGCUGCCGGGAUUGUCGAGUGUGUAGGGGAAGGAGUGACCGAAUUCAAGGAGGGAGACCACGUGUUGACGAUGUUCACAGGCGAAUGCAAGACAUGCCGGCACUGCACAUCGAAUAAGAGCAACAGUUGCCGGGUACUUGGGUUGGAAAGGGGCAGCGUAAUGCACAGCGACUGAAAGACACGCUUCUCCGUUAGAGGGGAUCCUGUAUAUCAUUACUUGGGCAUUUCGAGUUUCAGCGAGUAUACGGUGGUGCACUUGGGAUGCGCCACCAAAGUCAGCCCAACAGCACCUCCAGAGAAAAUAUGUCUCCUCAGUUGUGGAGUAGCAACAGGUCUAGGUGCGGCUUGGAAUGCGGCCGACCUAUCCGAAGGAUCGAACGUGGCAAUAUUUGGUCUUGGAACUGUGGAUCUUUCUGUUACACAAGGUGCCAAACUUCGGGGAGCCUCUCAUGUAAUCGGCGACGACAUUAAUCCUGAGAAGGGCGAGAAAGCAAAAGAUUUUGGAGUUAAUGUAUGUCUCAAUCCUAAGGACUAUGAUGAACCCAUCCAUGAGGUCAUCAAGAGGAUGACUGAUGAGGUUGCUGAUUACUGUUUCGAGUGCACCGGCGAUACAAGAGCAACUACGACUGCGUUGCAGUCAUGCUGUGAAGGAUGGGGUUCGACCGUGACCCUUGGCGUGCCGAAAGUGAAGCC
Molecule: long non-coding RNA, 878 nt
Organism: Rhodamnia argentea
Lineage: Eukaryota; Viridiplantae; Streptophyta; Magnoliopsida; Myrtales; Myrtaceae
Exons: 8
Source: RefSeq, a predicted model, not a curated record